Molecule: ribosomal RNA, 399 nt
Filed under: uncultured bacterium
Lineage: Bacteria
Description: bacterial SSU rRNA
Rfam family: Bacterial small subunit ribosomal RNA
Source: RNAcentral
GACGAACGCUGGCGGCGUGCCUAAUACAUGCAAGUCGAACGCACUCUCGUUUAGAUUGAAGGAGCUUGCUCCUGAUUGAUAAACAUUUGAGUGAGUGGCGGACGGGUGAGUAACACGUGGGUAACCUGCCCUAAAGUGGGGGAUAACAUUUGGAAACAGAUGCUAAUACCGCAUAAAACCUAACACCGCAUGGUGUAAGGGUUGAAAGAUGGUUUCGGCUAUCACUUUAGGAUGGACCCGCGGUGCAUUAGUUACGUUGGUGAGGUAAAGGCUCACCAAGACCGUGAUGCAUAGCCGACCUGAGAGGGUAAUCGGCCACACUGGGACUGAGACACGGCCCAGACUCCUACGGGAGCAGCAGUAGGGAAUCUUCCACGAAUGGACGAAGUCUGAUGGAGC